AGAGUUUGAUCCUGGCUCAGGAUGAACGUUGGCGGCGUGCCUAACACAUGCAAGUCGAACGGUGAUAGCAAUAUCAGAGUGGCGCACGGGUGAGUAACACGUAGCUUACCUGCCUCGAAGAGCGGGAUAACGUCUCGAAAGAGACGCUAAUACGGCAUAAGCUCACGGACUAUAGAGGUCUGGGAGAAAAGGGUUGAAAGACCGCUUCGAGAUGGGGCUGCGGCCCAUCAGCUAGUUGGUGAGGUAAAAGCUUACCAAGGCAACGACGGGUAGGGGGCCUGAGAGGGUGGUCCCCCACACUGGGACUGAGACACGGCCCAGACUCCUACGGGAGGCAGCAGUGAGGGAUAUUGCACAAUGGGGGAAACCCUGAUGCAGCGACGCCGCGUGGGUGACGAAGGGCUUCGGCUCGUAAAACCCUUUUCUGCGUGACGAGGACAAGGACGGUAGCGCAGGAAUAAGUCUCGGCUAACUACGUGCCAGCAGCCGCGGUAAAACGUAGGAGACAAACGUUAUCCGGAGUUACUGGGCGUAAAGGGCGUGCAGGCGGCUGACUAAGUCUGGCGUGAAAGGUCUCGGCUUAACCGGGAUAGGUCGUCGGAUACUGGUCGGCUCGAGGGCGGUAGAGGCGUGUGGAAUUCCGGGUGUAGUGGUGAAAUGCGUAGAGAUCCGGAGGAACACCAGUGGCGAAGGCGACACGCUGGGCCGCACCUGACGCUAAGACGCGACAGCAUGGGGAGCGAACGGGAUUAGAAACCCCGGUAGUCCAUGCCGUAAACGAUGCCAGCUGGGUGUUCGGUUCGCGAGAGCGAACGGGGUACCGAAGUCAACACGGUAAGCUGGCCGCCUGGGGAGUACGGUCGCAAGAUUAAAACUCAAAGGAAUUGACGGGGGCCCGCACAAGCAGCGGAGCGUGUGGUUUAAUUCGAGCCUACACGAAGAACCUUACCUGGGUUUGACAUGCAAGUAGUAGUGAAGCGAAAGCGGAACGACCUUCGGGAGCUUGCACAGGUGCUGCAUGGCUGUCGUCAGCUCGUGCCGUGAGGUGUUCGGUUAAGUCCGCAAACGAGCGCAACCCUCGGUGCCAGUUACACGUGUCUGGCGCGACUGCCCGUGAGAAACGGGAGGAAGGUGGGGAUGACGUCAAGUCAGCAUGGCCUUUAUAUCCAGGGCUACACACACGCUACAAUGGGCGGUACAAUGGGUUGCGAAGCCGCGAGGUGGAGCCAAUCCUGAAAGCCGUUCACAGUUCGGAUUGCAGGCUGCAACCCGCCUGCAUGAAGUCGGAGUUGCUAGUAACCGCAGGUCAGCUAUACUGCGGUGAAUACGUUCCCGGGCCUUGUACACACCGCCCGUCACGUCAUGGGAGCUGGUCACGCCUGAAGUCGGGGAGCUAACCGCAAGGAGGCAGCCGCCGAGGGCAGGGCCGGUGACUGGGACGAAGUCGUAACAAGGUA
RNAcentral lists this ribosomal RNA (1457 nucleotides) under metagenome. RNAcentral's name for it is "bacterial SSU rRNA". It matches the Rfam family "Bacterial small subunit ribosomal RNA". The record is from RNAcentral.